RNAcentral lists this non-coding RNA (43 nucleotides) under Prorocentrum micans. The record is from RNAcentral. Lineage: Eukaryota; Dinophyceae; Prorocentrales; Prorocentraceae.
GGAAAAGCAAUAAAGUGUUUUUUUUUUUUUUUUUUUUUUUUUU